This 463-nucleotide ribosomal RNA is filed under the name uncultured bacterium. RNAcentral describes it as "bacterial SSU rRNA". It matches the Rfam family "Bacterial small subunit ribosomal RNA", at positions 28 to 507 of the family's 1533-position model. The record is from RNAcentral.
GACGAACGCUGGCGGCGUGCUUAACACAUGCAAGUCGAACGGUGACGAGGAGCUUGCUCCUCCGAUCAGUGGCGAACGGGUGAGUAACACGUGAGUAACCUGCCCCAGACUCUGGGAUAACAGUUGGAAACAGCUGCUAAUACCGGAUACGAGACGGAGAGGCAUCUCUACCGUCUGGAAAGUUUUCGGUCUGGGAUGGACUCGCGGCCUAUCAGCUUGUUGGUGAGGUAAUGGCUCACCAAGGCGACGACGGGUAGCCGGCCUGAGAGGGUGACCGGCCACACUGGAACUGAGACACGGUCCAGACUCCUACGGGGGGCAGCAGUGGGGAAUCUUCCACAAUGGGCGAAAGCCUGAUGGAGCGACGCCGCGUGAGCGAAGAAGGCCUUCGGGUUGUAAAGCUCUGUCUGGAGGGACGAAGGAAGUGACGGUACCUCCGGAGGAAGCCACGGCUAACUACGUG